AGAUUCAGGUUUCCUGGGAGGAUGGGGGAGACUAUUAGGAUAAAAAAUUUUGAAACCAAAACUGAAUUGUAAAGUAAUUACAAAUUACUUUAGGAUAAGAGAAUAUAAAGUUUAAAGUAUUCUGCAUCUUUUAUUUGAUUCAAAGGUAGGGGAAGAAUCGAAACUUAUUUUUCAAUGUUAAACUGCAGAUUGAGAGUGGCAAUCUGAUUUUUUAAAUUCUAAAUUCACACUGAUCUGUUUUAACUACACAUCAAAUAAAAUAAUGAAGAAAAUGAAAAAAAAUCUAUGGAAUGUGACUAUAAAAUUAUUUCGAAAAUGUAGAGGUUUAAAAGCUUUUAGAAAAAUGGAAAUAAAAUAACAAAGCACAUAAAAUAAAUGCC
This 380-nucleotide long non-coding RNA is filed under the name Bos taurus (domestic cattle). RNAcentral's name for it is "long non-coding RNA NONBTAT004152". The record is from RNAcentral. Lineage: Eukaryota; Metazoa; Chordata; Mammalia; Artiodactyla; Bovidae.